RNAcentral lists this long non-coding RNA (424 nucleotides) under Marmota monax (woodchuck). Lineage: Eukaryota; Metazoa; Chordata; Mammalia; Rodentia; Sciuridae. The record is from RNAcentral.
AUCACUGGGCUAGAAAUUGGAACUGGAGUCCUGGUGCACGUGAUGCUAGUGUGUUUCUAGCAUCUGCUCUGCUCUGCCUCUCAUGGUCUUCAGUACCAGCCCAAGGCCUCAAUUAAGUCCUCUUCCUGGAAAUAGCCUCAUUGGAUUCUUUCCAAAGCAAAUUUCAGGUCAGGGUAAGGCUCAUGCCCAGAAAAACUGAGGCAAGAAACAGGAACCCCAGAGGGAUUUAGCUGCAGUGGGAAGAGUUAGGGCUGGAGGAUCAAAAGGACUGAGGUUCAAUUUCACUCUGCCUCUUGUUAGCAAGUGAAUUUGGCCAACUCUUUAACCUCUCUGAGCCUCAGUUUCUUCAUCUGGGACAUGGGUAUGGUAGCAAAAGCUACAUGUAAUAGGUUAUGAGGCACAAAUGAGGAGACAUAAAAGCAGG